RNAcentral lists this long non-coding RNA (274 nucleotides) under Brachypodium distachyon (stiff brome). RNAcentral's name for it is "long non-coding RNA (BDIS_LNC000556)". Lineage: Eukaryota; Viridiplantae; Streptophyta; Magnoliopsida; Poales; Poaceae. The record is from RNAcentral.
CUUGUGUUUCUAUGUUUCAUUUCGUGGGUAGAACCUUUAAUUAUGAGUGGCAUGUAGCUGUAAGUAAAAUACGUUCAUUGCACUGAUUAGACCAUUAUUCAAAACGAAAAUGGCACUCCAUUGAUUAGGCCAAAUUUCAUGGUAUUAAGGAGUAAGAAAACAAAAGGCGGUGUAAGGUUUUUGCCCCUGCACUUCGAUUUCUUUCUAAUCAUUGCUAAUGGCAUCUAAUAGUUUUUCCAAGCACCGUGCUGUGAGAAUCCCGUGAGAAUAAGGC